UCGGGAAUUUUGGGCAAUGGGCGAAAGCCUGACCCAGCAACGCCGCGUGAAGGAUGAAGUAUUUCGGUAUGUAAACUUCGAAAGAAUAGGAAGAAUAAAUGACGGUACUAUUUAUAAGGUCCGGCUAACUACGUGCCAGCAGCCGCGGUAAUACGUAGGGACCAAGCGUUGUUCGGAUUUACUGGGCGUAAAGGGCGCGUAGGCGGCAAUUCAAGUCAUCUGUGAAAUCUCCGGGCUUAACUCGGAACGGUCAGAUGAUACUGCUUUGCUAGAGUGCAGAAGGGGCAAUCGGAAUUCUUGGUGUAGCGGUGAAAUGCGUAGAUAUCAAGAGGAACACCUGAGGCGAAGGCGGGUUGCUGGGCUGAUACUGACGCUGAAGCGCGAAAGCUAGGGUAGCAAACGGGAUUAGAUACCCCAGUAGUCCCUGAGCGGGCUGGCAAGGCGCAU
RNAcentral lists this ribosomal RNA (447 nucleotides) under uncultured bacterium. RNAcentral's name for it is "bacterial SSU rRNA". It matches the Rfam family "Bacterial small subunit ribosomal RNA", at positions 355 to 825 of the family's 1533-position model. The record is from RNAcentral.